UCUAACAGACCUUAUUGUUAGUAAAGCCUGCUCAAUGAUUAAUAAAUAGCCGCAGAACCCUGUGCUAAGGUAGCAUAAUAACUUGCCUUAUAAUUAAAGGCUAGCAUGAAAGGUAUCACAUAUUGAUAACUUUAUUUAUUUAAUUAUUUAAAAUUAACCUUUUAGUAAAAAGGCUAAAAUAUAUAAAGAGGACGACAAGACCCUGACAAACUUCACAUUCAUGUUAUGCUGGGGGGGCAAAAAAACAUCAUCUUUUUCAACUUAAAAAACAGGAAAAUUCUAUCUUUUAUACAAGUUACUGCAGGGAUAACAGCAUAAUUUUUUCCCGGAGACCUUAUCUAAGAAAAAUUUUGUGACCUCGAUGUUGAAUUAGAUAUCUAUAAAGAGCAAAAUCCUUAUAAGUAAGUCUGUUCGACUUUUAAUAAUCUACAUGAUUUGAGUUCAGACCGGCGCGAGCCAGGUCGGUUUCUAUCCCUUUAUCUUAAUUCUUAGUACGAAAGGACCAGAAUUAUUAUUAUUUAUAUU
This 525-nucleotide ribosomal RNA is filed under the name Iberesia sp. CRBAME000968. RNAcentral's name for it is "partial 16S ribosomal RNA". It matches the Rfam family "Bacterial large subunit ribosomal RNA", at positions 1832 to 2714 of the family's 2925-position model. Lineage: Eukaryota; Metazoa; Arthropoda; Arachnida; Araneae; Nemesiidae. The record is from RNAcentral.